Small nucleolar RNA from Cornus florida, 107 nucleotides. The record is from RefSeq and is a predicted model, not a curated record. Lineage: Eukaryota; Viridiplantae; Streptophyta; Magnoliopsida; Cornales; Cornaceae.
AUGUCAUAAUGUGGACACUUCCUAAGCAAGUCAUUCAAUCGCUCCCAUGCCUCAUGAAACAUUUUCCCUUCCCUUUGAGAAAAUUCAUGAAUUGAAGUUCUCACUGU